CCUACGUGAGGCAGCAGUGGGGAAUAUUGCGCAAUGGGCGAACGCCUGACGCAGCGACGCCGCGUGAGGGAUGAAGGUCUUCGGAUCGUAAACCUCUGUCUGCAGGGAAGCACGGUCACUGUGCUAAUCAGCAGUGAAUUGACGGUACCUGCAAAGGAAGCACCGGCUCACUCCGUGCAAGCAGCCGCGUUAAUACGGAGGGUGCGAGCGUUAAUCGGAAUUACUGGGCGUAAAGCGCUCGUAGGCGGUAUGUCAAGUCAAGGGUGAAAUCCCCGCGCUCAACGUGGGAACUGCCUUUGAAACUGGCAAACUGGAGUGUGUGAGAGGAUAGGGGAAUUCCAGGUGUAGGAGUGAAAGCCGUAGAUAUCUGGAGGAACAUCAGGGGCGAAGGCGACUAUCUGGCACAUAACUGACGCUGAGGAGCGAAAGCGUGGGUAGCAAACAGGAUUAGAUACCCCAGUAGUC
This 465-nucleotide ribosomal RNA is filed under the name uncultured bacterium. RNAcentral's name for it is "partial 16S ribosomal RNA". It matches the Rfam family "Bacterial small subunit ribosomal RNA", at positions 338 to 795 of the family's 1533-position model. The record is from RNAcentral.